This 614-nucleotide long non-coding RNA is filed under the name Equus caballus (horse). RNAcentral's name for it is "lncRNA (ENSECAG00000028184.2)". The record is from RNAcentral. Lineage: Eukaryota; Metazoa; Chordata; Mammalia; Perissodactyla; Equidae.
GGAUGAUAACCUACAGGUUCAGAAAAAUGCAGAGACGAUGGAGUGUGUUGUUUCUAGACUCUCCCUGAGAUUCAGAGCCAUUUGCUGACUGCAAGAUCUCAAUUAAUUUAGAAAAUCCAAAAUUUUAUCGGUACAUGGAGGCGCUAGAUAGGAAUACCCUCUAAAGAAAAUGGAUGGAGAAGUUGCCUUGGGGAAGAGAACCAGAUGGACCAUGUGGCUUUUACUUAGUCUUAAAGGUACAGAAGAAAGAAGCAAGCCUUUAGGAUCCUACUCACUUGAUUUGUAGGAAGGAAGAGGCAAUGGGACACGUGAAUGAAGUUAAUAGGACACAGGACUCAAUUCUGGAUGCCAUGUUGCAUUUGGUUAUCCCGUAUUAGGCGUUUUCAAUCUUUGAAAGUUUCCUGGUCUUUUAAAUCAUGAUUGACUGUUUUGAAGAGUACUGGAUGUAGAGUUUGUAGAAUGAUCCUUGACUUGGCUAUUUUCUCAGGAUUCGAUUGGGGUUAUGGAUUUAGGGGAAGAAUAUCCAAGAGGUGAAGUGCCCUUUCCAUUGUCUCAUAUUGGGAGGGAUAUGAAAUCAACAAAACUCAUGACUGGUUGUGUUAAUCUCGAUUAAG